CCCCUAGAUGUUCUGGGCCGCGCGCGCGCUACACUGAACAGUUCAACAAGUCUUAACCUUGGCCGAUAGGUCUGGGUAAUCUUUGAACGCUGUUCGUGAUUGGGAUAGACCUUUGCAAUUAUGGGUCUUCAACGAGGAAUUCCUAGUAAACGCAAGUCAUCAGCUUGCAUUGAUUACGUCCCUGCCCUUUGUACACACCGCCCGUCGCACCUACCGAUUGAAUGGUCCGGUGAAAUCUCGGGACGGCGGCUUGGUCGCUUGCGUCCGACUGCUGAAACUUGAUUAAACCAUAUCAUUUAGAGGAAGGUGAAGUCGUANCA
RNAcentral lists this ribosomal RNA (320 nucleotides) under uncultured eukaryote. RNAcentral's name for it is "partial 18S ribosomal RNA". It matches the Rfam family "Eukaryotic small subunit ribosomal RNA", at positions 1470 to 1796 of the family's 1831-position model. The record is from RNAcentral.